Non-coding RNA from Delphinapterus leucas (beluga whale), 2647 nucleotides. Lineage: Eukaryota; Metazoa; Chordata; Mammalia; Artiodactyla; Monodontidae. The record is from RefSeq and is a predicted model, not a curated record.
UGGUGUUCAGUCUGCCACAAGCACCCCCGACCUUUUGUUACCCUUACAGAGAGACACCGUGAUGAAAACACAGAUGUUGAACAUGGCUACAGCCUCAGCGUGAUUUCUAAGCCUGACACCUAAGGCUGAAACCAGAAAGAAAGAAAGAAAAGACAGACGCAUAGUGAGCCAUCAUUGUGAUGCUGCAGAAGACUCGGGGUCUGGCCUAUGAUGCAGCAAACCCACUUUCACCAACAGACAAUCCGAGAGCCAAGGCCCAGCGGGACAUCAGGAGGCACGUAAGCCAGCAAUACUGAUGCUGGAUGGUUUCUGGCAAGCGCUCACCACGUGCUGGGCACUGCACGUGCUACCUGAUUGCAAUCAUUGUGCAGAGAAUUAAAUAACAGCAGCGGCAUCUAAACAGCUGAGGCACAGAAAGACUGCCCUGCCAUUGACGGAGAGCCUUCCUUAACUGGAAACACCAAGCAAAGUGUACAAAACCAAAAGGGAGCUGGCUCAGAGCAGGAGCACAGCUGCCAAAGGCUGGAACCUGGCGCCGCUGCCUUCUCCCUGGAAGAGGGUGAUGGGGCCACUGGGAGAGCAUGCAGAUCCCCAGAGCCUCAUCGCCACCCCUACUCCCCUCCCCGACCGAGAAUGAAUCUCAGGGAUCAGAAUACCUCCCUGGAGAGACUGCUGUCAGGAUUGAAGGAGAUGAUGUAGCUGGCUUCCUCAUGGACAGAUGUUUACUAACUCUGCAAUACGGACCCGUAGAGAAGACGGAAGAAUGAGAGAGAAGAUGUGGAAGGAGACAGACCAGUCCAAUCCAAUCCUCUUCCACUAACCAAGAAUACAACCCAUCCUCUUCCACUAACCAAGAAUACAAUGCUGUUUCCCUACAUGUUUAAAGAAGAAGUCUGUUCCGUUGAUCAGCUGUUAGUAACGUGGAGGUAGACAUCGAGAGAGAAGGCAGCAUCUCGACUUAUGAUAUGUUACCUAGGUGACACCUAGAAACACGCCCAAAGGCAGGGAGAGAGGCCUCUGGUCCCAGAAUCACUGCCCCAUUGUUGUGGUCUUUUAUGAGAGACUACCACUGAAGACCUAUAUAGUGACGGUACAUUUUUACAGUCCUCGCAUAAAUCAGUGAAUUGUCCUGCUAGUCUCAUGGGUUAGGUGAUGAUUUAGGAUCUGGAUUGGAAAUGGUUCACUGAUUAAUCAACACGAAAGUGCAAGGUGUCAACAGACAAAAUACGAAAAUACCCAAUUUGUCACCCUGACAAAUUCUACAACUAGCUUCCACCCUCUUGAGAGCACGGGCACGUCUCUAAAUGGGAUGGCAUCAGAGGAGAAAACCUGUGUGCAUCUGCAUCAUAGGGGUUAGACUGGUCUAAGGUACGUUCAGUUUAAUGGUUCUUUAAUGAAAACACCGGGGUCCCUCCCGACCUGUGUAGAACGCGCUACCAUCUUCUCCAUCCUCCGCUUUUUCCAUGAUUACACGUCAACUUACAAGCUAGGGAGAAACAACUCAGACAUUCGCUAAGCUAAGCUGCCCUGCGAGGGAGGACGAGACAACUGUAUGAACUCAGACCUGAGUUGAGCUGAGCUGCUCUGCCCGGUCCUUUUCUCCGAUUCAGCGGAAUUUCUUCCGACUACAAGCAGCUAAGAGGCACCUCUCCUAUCAAGCAACCACACGGCUUCUAAGGCAGCAACCACAGGCAGGAAAGCAUUCUAAACAAACCACGGCUUGCCCCCUGGUCCUCCUGAAGCUUCCUCAUGGCCUCGGCCCCAAAGCUCUGCUGAGAGGCAUCAGCCACAAAGCAAGCACUGCAGCAUGGGGCUGCUGCCUUUCAGAAAUAAAACAAACAGAAGCAAAAAGAAAAGCACUUGUUACUACAGCCAGUUGAGAUUCGGGAAAGAAACAGUGAUCCAAACCCACAGUUCAGCUCAGCCUGCAACCACAAAUGAGAUGAUAAAAUAAAUACCUAAUUGUUUGGGAAGCCAUCUUUCUCUUUGGAGGUUGGAGGAAUUAACCAAACAUUUCUGUGAAGACAUUUGCGUUUCCUCAGCCUUGCGUAUGCAGCAGAGAGAACUGAAGGCGGGUCAGACACGCCAGGUGGGUUAAGGGGGGGAGCGUGGAGCAGGAAGAAACAUCUCCAUCCCGAGCUACUUUCCUCAUGUCACAGAAUCUCACAGAAGUUCCCCAAGGCCUUUGAGAAGAGGUCCAAAACCCCAGGCCUGCCUCAAGUGAACUUUCCUUCGAAAACCAGCACAGCCCCUGCUGCUCGCAACAGAUUCGUGGGAUGUUUAUGGAAUCUUCUAGCCUAGUCUGCACCUUAUCCUUCCAUAAGUUCACCUUCCAGAUCAUUCUAUGUCCUCCCAUGUGUCACGACCAGCUCACGGCACGGCACCACCCCCCCCCUCCCCACAAUCAAGAAGGGUAACCGUAAUACAUCCACAUGUUUCCAAAGCCCGACAUAAGCCCACGUGCCGUAAGGAGGCAGCCCGACCCACUUCACGCUGCCAUCAGUCUUAGGCAUUUUGUCCUGUCUCCCUCUCAACUCCCUCAGCCCAGUCUGGUGUGAGAACUGACUGACCUGCAGACCGUCCCCACGUGCACUCGGCAAGCCCUAACUACAGGACCCACCUGAUAGCCCACCCGCACCAGCCUGCA